GAAAGAAAGAGAGAGAUAAGCUAUCAGCGAGAUACCGAUUGAUCGAUGGCGAAGGUUUGGGAGAGCCCUCAACCAACGUAUUGGUGGAUGAGUUUAACUUGUAGGAGAGAUUUAGAACCAUUACAAUCUUUUAAAAGGGAAUCAACUCCGGGAUGGUCAUUCAACAAGGAUGAUGCUCCCCUCAACAAUGGAUUUUCGUAC
Molecule: long non-coding RNA, 201 nt
Filed under: Linum usitatissimum (flax)
Lineage: Eukaryota; Viridiplantae; Streptophyta; Magnoliopsida; Malpighiales; Linaceae
Description: long non-coding RNA (LUSI_LNC007678)
Source: RNAcentral